RNAcentral lists this ribosomal RNA (492 nucleotides) under uncultured bacterium. Its description in RNAcentral is "partial 16S ribosomal RNA". It matches the Rfam family "Bacterial small subunit ribosomal RNA", at positions 29 to 507 of the family's 1533-position model. The record is from RNAcentral.
AGUGAACGCUGGCGGUAGGCCUAACACAUGCAAGUCGAACGGCAGCACAGUAAGAGCUUGCUCUUAUGGGUGGCGAGUGGCGGACGGGUGAGGAAUACAUCGGAAUCUACUUUUUCGUGGGGGAUAACGUAGGGAAACUUACGCUCAUACCGCAUACGACCUACGGGUGAAAGCAGGGGAUCUUUGGACCUUGCGCGAUUGAAUGAGCGGAUGUCGGAUUAGCUAGUUGGCGGGGUAAAGGCCCACCCAGGCGACGAUCCGUAGCUGGUCUGAGAGAAUGAUCAGCCACACUGGAACUGAGACACGGUCAAGACUCCUACGGGAGGCAGCAGUGGCGAAUAUUGGACAAUGGGCGCAAGCCUGAUCCAGCCAUACCGCGUGGGAGAAGAAGGCCUUCGGGUUGUAAAGCCCUUUUGUUGGGAAAGAAAAGCAGCAGGUUAAUACCCCGCUGUUCUGACGGUACCCAAAGAAGAAGCACCGGCUAACUUCGUG